UUGUUUUUUCCUUUUUAAAAAAAUAAGAAUAAUAAUUUUAAUAUGUAUGUAUGUAAAGGUACGAAAUAAAAGUCCAUGAAUGAAAUAAAUUAAAAGCAUUUUUAAAUCUCACCAAAGAUAUUGAAAAGGCUCCACCAGAAGAAGUAGGGAUUGAUGAUGUACUUGUUCAAGAAAGUGUUCGUCCUCUUAUUAUUCCUCCUCUUAUUAUUCCUUCUGUUCAGCAUAGCCAUGUUGAGAUUUCACCUUAACUUGU
This 253-nucleotide unclassified non-coding RNA is filed under the name Hevea brasiliensis (rubber tree). The record is from RNAcentral. Lineage: Eukaryota; Viridiplantae; Streptophyta; Magnoliopsida; Malpighiales; Euphorbiaceae.